RNAcentral lists this ribosomal RNA (484 nucleotides) under Tomocerus catalanus. RNAcentral's name for it is "partial large subunit ribosomal RNA". The stretch from base 348 to 484 matches the Rfam family "Archaeal large subunit ribosomal RNA", at positions 2542 to 2679 of the family's 2987-position model. The record is from RNAcentral. Lineage: Eukaryota; Metazoa; Arthropoda; Collembola; Entomobryomorpha; Tomoceridae.
ACAUUUUCUUUAGGUACAUUUAAAGAUAAAGUCUGCCCACUGUAUAAAAUAAAGGGCCGCGGUAAUUUGACCGUGCAAAGGUAGCAUAAUCAUUAGUCUCUUAAUUGGGGAAUGGAAUGAAUGGCUAAAUGAUUUUUAGCUUUAAUAUUUUUAUAUUUUGAAGUUUGAUUUUAAAUGAAAAUAUUUAAAUAAAAUAAAAAGACGAUAAGACCCUAUAGAAUUUUAAUUUUUAUUUAUUAAUUAAAUUAAAUUUAAAUUUAAUUGGGGCAAUUUAAUAAUAAAUAAAAAUUCUUAAUUAAUUUUUUUAAGCUAUCUAAAAAUAUUAGUUUUAAAAAAAUUACCUUAGGGAUAACAGCGUUAUUAUUUUUGAGAGUUCAUAUCGACAUAAUAGAUUGCGACCUCGAUGUUGAAUUAAAAUACCUAUAUGGAGCAGAAUUUAUAUAAGGUAGUCUGUUCGACUAAAAGAUUUUUACAUGAUUUGAGU